CCUUACAACGCUGGCGGCAUGCCUAACACAUGCAAGUCGAACGCUCAUCCGGCUUCGGUCGGAUGGGAGUGGCGCACGGGUGAGUAGCGCGUGGGAACCUGCCCUGUUGUGGGGGAUAACCGAGGGAAACUUCGGCUAAUACCGCAUGCGCCCGGGGAGACCCGGGGAAAGAUUUAUCGCAGCAGGAGGGGCCCGCGUCGGAUUAGCUAGUUGGUGGGGUAACGGCCCACCAAGGCGAUGAUCCGUAGCUGGUCUGAGAGGAUGAUCAGCCACACUGGGACUGAGACACGGCCCAGACUCCUACGGGAGGCAGCAGUGGGGAAUAUUGGACAAUGGGCGCAAGCCUGAUCCAGCAAUGCCGCGUGAGUGAUGAAGGCCUUCGGGUUGUAAAGCUCUUUCGCCCGCGACGAUUAUGACGGUAGCGGGAGAAGAAGCCCCGGCUAACUUCGUGCCAGCAGCCGCGGUAAUACGAAGGGGGCGAGCGUUGUUCGGAUUUACUGGGCGUAAAGGGCGCGUA
This 517-nucleotide ribosomal RNA is filed under the name uncultured bacterium. RNAcentral's name for it is "bacterial SSU rRNA". It matches the Rfam family "Bacterial small subunit ribosomal RNA", at positions 25 to 573 of the family's 1533-position model. The record is from RNAcentral.